Molecule: ribosomal RNA, 497 nt
Filed under: uncultured bacterium
Lineage: Bacteria
Description: partial 16S ribosomal RNA
Rfam family: Bacterial small subunit ribosomal RNA
Source: RNAcentral
GAUGAACGCUGGCGGCGUGCCUAAUACAUGCAAGUCGAGCGAACAGACGAGGAGCUUGCUCCUCUGACGUUAGCGGCGGACGGGUGAGUAACACGUGGAUAACCUACCUAUAAGACUGGGAUAACUUCGGGAAACCGGAGCUAAUACCGGAUAAUAUAUUGAACCGCAUGGUUCAAUAGUGAAAGACGGUUUUGCUGUCACUUAUAGAUGGAUCCGCGCCGCAUUAGCUAGUUGGUAAGGUAACGGCUUACCAAGGCAACGAUGCGUAGCCGACCUGAGAGGGUGAUCGGCCACACUGGAACUGGAACACGGUCCAGACUCCUACGGGGGGCAGCAGUAGGGAAUCUUCCGCAAUGGGCGAAAGCCUGACGGAGCAACGCCGCGUGAGUGAUGAAGGUCUUCGGAUCGUAAGACUCUGUUAUUAGGGAAGAACAAAUGUGUAAGUAACUAUGCACGUCUUGACGGUACCUAAUCAGAAAGCCACGGCUAACUACGUG